AACGAACGCUGGCGGCAGGCUUAACACAUGCAAGUCGAACGCCCCGCAAGGGGAGUGGCAGACGGGUGAGUAACGCGUGGGAAGGUACCUUUCAGUUCGGAAUAACUCAGGGAAACGUGUGCUAAUACCGGAUACGCCCGUAAGGGGAAAGAUUUAUCGCUGAAAGAUCGGCCCGCGUUGGAUUAGCUAGUUGGUGGGGUAAUGGCCUACCAAGGCGACGAUCCAUAGCUGGUCUGGGAGGAUGAUCAGCCACACUGGGACUGAGACACGGCCCAGACUCCUACGGGAGGCAGCAGUGGGGAAUAUUGGACAAUGGGCGAAAGCCUGAUCCAGCCAUGCCGCGUGAGUGAUGAAGGCCCUAGGGUUGUAAAGCUCUUUCACCGAUGAAGAUAAUGACGGUAGUCGGAGAAGAAGCCCCGGCUAACUUCGUGCCAGCCGCCGCGGUAA
This 447-nucleotide ribosomal RNA is filed under the name uncultured bacterium. RNAcentral's name for it is "partial 16S ribosomal RNA". It matches the Rfam family "Bacterial small subunit ribosomal RNA", at positions 29 to 523 of the family's 1533-position model. The record is from RNAcentral.